Molecule: long non-coding RNA, 161 nt
Organism: Fundulus heteroclitus (mummichog)
Lineage: Eukaryota; Metazoa; Chordata; Actinopteri; Cyprinodontiformes; Fundulidae
Exons: 2
Source: RefSeq, a predicted model, not a curated record
GUCUGUAUCAAAUGUGUCUCCUAUACCCUGAACGGUGAUAGGAGACACAAAUCCAAGUGCGUCAUACAGACGGUUUACAGUGGAAAGGAUUCCCCGCCGAGUGAAUGCUUUCCUCUCCUCUUGAACUUGAUCUGACCCCAAGCCUCAGGAAGCAUUUUGCA